This 57-nucleotide transfer RNA is filed under the name Haemonchus placei. It matches the Rfam family "tRNA", at positions 16 to 71 of the family's 71-position model. Rfam says of the family: Transfer RNA (tRNA) molecules are approximately 80 nucleotides in length. Their secondary structure includes four short double-helical elements and three loops (D, anti-codon, and T loops). The record is from Rfam by way of RNAcentral. Lineage: Eukaryota; Metazoa; Nematoda; Chromadorea; Rhabditida; Trichostrongylidae.
CGGCAGCGCGUCAGUCUCAUAAUCUGAAGGUCGUGAGUUCGAGCCUCACCGGGAGCA